AAAAAAAAGGGCUUGUCCAAACGUCAUUUAACCAGGCCAUACACGACUCUUCUCCUUAAAUCAUUCUCAUUUCUCAACAACUAGCCAAUCUCCAUCUCCAAAGCGCAUUCUUUCAUCUUCACUCACGCAGAAGCCAUGGGAAGCGCCACUAAGGGGAGAACCACCAUUGACGUUGGAGCUGAUGGUGUAGCGGUCAUCACCAUCAUCAAUCCUCCUGUUAAUUCGCUCUCUUUCGAUGUGCUAAAAAGCUUGAAAGAUAGUUUUGACCAAGCCUUAAGAAGAGAUGAUGUGAAGGCAAUUGUUGUCACUGGUGCGAAGGGUAAGUUCUCGGGUGGCUUUGAUAUUACUGCAUUUGGUGGAGUUCAAAGCGGAACUGUGGAUCAACCAAAGCGUGGUUUUAUAUCAGUUGACAUUCUAACUGACACUGUAGAAGCUGCAAGAAAACCUUCAGUUGCUGCCAUUGAUGGUCUUGCCUUAGGUGGAGGAUUAGAGGUUGCAAUGGCAUGUCAUGCACGUAUCUCAACUCCCACUGCACAAUUAGGCCUGCCUGAACUUCAACUUGGAAUAAUUCCUGGAUUUGGAGGAACACAGAGGCUUCCACGUCUUGUUGGUAUAACAAAGGCUCUUGAAAUGAUGUUGACAUCAAAACCAGUUAAAGGUGAAGAAGCUCAUGCUUUGGGCCUUGUAGAUUCUGUAGUUUCACCAAAUGAGUUGGUGAACACUGCACGUCAAUGGGCCCUUGAUAUCUUGGAACGUAGGAAGCCAUGGGUUGCUAGUCUUUACAGGACUGACAAGUUAGAUUCCCUCGGAGAAGCGAGGGAGAUAUUCAAAUUUGCAAGAGCACAAGCUCGGAAACAGGCUCCUAAUCUCAAACAUCCAUUAGUUUGCAUUGAUGUUGUUGAAGAGGGUGUAGUUUCUGGUCCUCGGGCUGGACUCUGGAAGGAGGUUGAUGAAUUCCAAGUACUUGUUCAUUCUGACACCUGCAAGAGCUUGGUCCACAUCUUUUUUGCUCAGCGUGGAACCACAAAGGUUCCUGGAAUUACUGACAAAGGCUUGAUGCCUAGACGAGUGAAUAAGGUUGCAGUGCUUGGCGGAGGACUAAUGGGUUCUGGCAUAGCAACUGCACUGAUCCUUAGUAAUUACCAGGUUAUCCUGAAAGAAGUAAAUGAAAAGUUCUUGCAAGCUGGAAUUGAAAGAGUCAGAGCUAACCUACAAAGCCGUGUCAAGAAAGGAAAAAUGUCUCAAGAGAAGUUUGAAAAAACCUCUUCUCUUCUUAAGGGUGUUCUUGAUUAUGAAAGCUUCAAAGAUGUGGAUAUGGUCAUAGAGGCUGUUAUUGAAAAUAUUUCUUUGAAGCAACAAAUAUUUGCUGAUCUUGAAAAAUAUUGCCCACUACACUGCAUUCUUGCAAGCAACACCUCCACAAUUGACUUGAACUUGAUUGGCCAGAGGACUAGGUCCCAGGAUCGGAUUAUUGGAGCCCAUUUCUUUAGUCCGGCUCAUGUCAUGCCACUCUUGGAAAUUGUUCGUACGAACCAAACGUCUCCUCAAGUAAUUGUGGAUUUACUAGAUGUUGGAAAGAAAAUAAAGAAGACUCCUGUUGUGGUCGGGAAUUGCACAGGAUUUGCUGUCAACAGGAUGUUUUUCCCCUAUACACAAGCUGCCAUUUUGCUAGUUGAACACGGGGUGGAUCCUUAUCAGAUUGAUAGGGCAAUCACUAAAUUUGGAAUGCCAAUGGGUCCAUUCCGGUUGUGUGAUCUGGUUGGUUUUGGUGUGGCAAUUGCAACUGGCAUGCAAUUUAUUGAGAAUUUCCCUGAGCGAACUUAUAAAUCAAUGCUCAUCCCACUGCUGCAAGAGGACAAGAGAGCAGGGGAAACUACUCGCAAAGGGUUCUAUUUGUACGGCGAUAAGCGCAAAGCUAGCCCAGAUCCCGAAUUAAGAAAAUAUGUUGAGAAGGCAAGAAGCAUUUCUGGUGUUUCCAUUGACCCCAAGCUUGCUAAGUUACCUGAGAAAGACAUUGUGGAGAUGACAUUCUUCCCGGUAGUGAAUGAAGCCUGCCGAGUCUUUGCUGAAGGAAUUGCCGUUAAAGCUGCAGACCUUGACAUUGCUUCUGUUAUGGGCAUGGGCUUUCCUUUUUACAGGUCUUUGUUUUUCCUUAGCUGAACGGCUUUCCCUGAAGACUUAACUGUCUCUAAUUUAUUGAUGUUGCUUGCACCAGGGGUGGUAUUUUGUUCUGGGCUGAUUCUCUUGGAUCAAAAUAUAUAUAUUCAAGAUUGGAGGAGUGGUCAAAGAUGCAUGGAGAAUUCUUCAAGCCCUGCGACUUCUUGGCUGAAAGAGCUGCCAAUGGUGCUCCACUGGUGAGAUAUCUAAAAUUAUAGUUUAUUUUAUAAUUCAAACGAGAAGCAAAAUAAACUGUUAUAUGAUGCCCCAGAAGAGUUGUUUAUGGGCAGUUUUGUCUAUGCCUAUAAAAGUGUAGAGUUAUCUGGGUCUCACCUGUCUACAUGGGCAAUUAUGCUAAUUUGAUUUAUGCGUUGCUUGGUACAGUCAUAUCUAGGCAACUAUUUAGCACAAUAAAUUAUAGAAAAUGCAAAUUUGGUGAAUUCUGAACACCGACAUUCUUGUUAUCUUCUGUACCAUUGUGAAACUUUAAAGGACAAAACUAGAGAAAUUCGAUGAUUACUUUGUUUUUAAUAGGGUAAAGCAUACUAUGUAGAUAAUCACCAUUGGAAGAAUGAAUGGUGAUUCAUCUAAUGGUAAAAACAACAAAGUGCAAACCAAGGGAAUAAAAAACUAUGUAAAUGGUUUAAAUGGGAUCAUGGCCUUAGUUUGACCAAUGAACAAAUUGUCAAAUGUCAAUAGUUUACUAUCAUAAGUGUUACUAAAAUUUCAAAUCCAUAUCGCACAUCUCUAAUGAUGUUUGCACCGUCUUGUUGCAGAGUUCUCCGGUGGAGCAAGCAAAAUCUAGGUUGUAAGAUUAAUUUGAUAAUUGCAUUGCCAACUGUUCAUAUUUUUUCCUGGAUUUUCUCUCAUCUUUUCCUUCGCCAAUUGCUAGCUAGUAAUAAUGCAUGGCAUGGCAAAAAUGCGAACGGUAAAGAAUACCUAAGAAAUGAGAGCUUAGGUGAUAGUAUUUUAUAUGCAGCCCAUUUGGAUUUUUAAUGAAUUCUAUCAUACUUAGCAUGAUUCAUUUACAAAUGUGGAAUUAAAAUCUAAUGUCUAUGUGCUAUGGCAUUAGCAUGUGAUAGUUCUUAGUGGUGCAGUUGUUAGGAUUGGCGAUAGACGUGGUGCAAAUAGACACGACGUCGGAUUUUAUGAUAACAAAAUUUUGUGUUGGUAUGCAUAACGGGAUAUUUCACAGUAAGUGUGAGAAAUCGGAGG
Molecule: unclassified non-coding RNA, 3372 nt
Filed under: Hevea brasiliensis (rubber tree)
Lineage: Eukaryota; Viridiplantae; Streptophyta; Magnoliopsida; Malpighiales; Euphorbiaceae
Source: RNAcentral